UAUGAACCGUUAUAACCGGCGAUUUCCGAAUGGGGAAACCCAGUGUGUUUCGACACACUAUCAUUAACUGAAUCCAUAGGUUAAUGAGGCGAACCGGGGGAACUGAAACAUCUAAGUACCCCGAGGAAAAGAAAUCAACCGAGAUUCCCCCAGUAGCGGCGAGCGAACGGGGAGCAGCCCAGAGCCUGAAUCAGUGUGUGUGUUAGUGGAAGCGUCUGGAAAGGCGCGCGAUACAGGGUGACAGCCCCGUACACAAAAAUGCACAUAUUGUGAGCUCGAUGAGUAGGGCGGGACACGUGGUAUCCUGUCUGAAUAUGGGGGGACCAUCCUCCAAGGCUAAAUACUCCUGACUGACCGAUAGUGAACCAGUACCGUGAGGGAAAGGCGAAAAGAACCCCGGCGAGGGGAGUGAAAAAGAACCUGAAACCGUGUACGUACAAGCAGUGGGAGCACGCUUAGGCGUGUGACUGCGUACCUUUUGUAUAAUGGGUCAGCGACUUAUAUUCUGUAGCAAGGUUAACCGAAUAGGGGAGCCGAAGGGAAACCGAGUCUUAACUGGGCGUUAAGUUGCAGGGUAUAGACCCGAAACCCGGUGAUCUAGCCAUGGGCAGGUUGAAGGUUGGGUAACACUAACUGGAGGACCGAACCGACUAAUGUUGAAAAAUUAGCGGAUGACUUGUGGCUGGGGGUGAAAGGCCAAUCAAACCGGGAGAUAGCUGGUUCUCCCCGAAAGCUAUUUAGGUAGCGCCUCGUGAAUUCAUCUCCGGGGGUAGAGCACUGUUUCGGCAAGGGGGUCAUCCCGACUUACCAACCCGAUGCAAACUGCGAAUACCGGAGAAUGUUAUCACGGGAGACACACGGCGGGUGCUAACGUCCGUCGUGAAGAGGGAAACAACCCAGACCGCCAGCUAAGGUCCCAAAGUCAUGGUUAAGUGGGAAACGAUGUGGGAAGGCCCAGACAGCCAGGAUGUUGGCUUAGAAGCAGCCAUCAUUUAAAGAAAGCGUAAUAGCUCACUGGUCGAGUCGGCCUGCGCGGAAGAUGUAACGGGGCUAAACCAUGCACCGAAGCUGCGGCAGCGACGCUGAUGCGUUGUUGGGUAGGGGAGCGUUCUGUAAGCCUGUGAAGGUGUGCUGUGAGGCAUGCUGGAGGUAUCAGAAGUGCGAAUGCUGACAUAAGUAACGAUAAAGCGGGUGAAAAGCCCGCUCGCCGGAAGACCAAGGGUUCCUGUCCAACGUUAAUCGGGGCAGGGUGAGUCGACCCCUAAGGCGAGGCCGAAAGGCGUAGUCGAUGGGAAACAGGUUAAUAUUCCUGUACUUGGUGUUACUGCGAAGGGGGGACGGAGAAGGCUAUGUUGGCCGGGCGACGGUUGUCCCGGUUUAAGCGUGUAGGCUGGUUUUCCAGGCAAAUCCGGAAAAUCAAGGCUGAGGCGUGAUGACGAGGCACUACGGUGCUGAAGCAACAAAUGCCCUGCUUCCAGGAAAAGCCUCUAAGCAUCAGGUAACAUCAAAUCGUACCCCAAACCGACACAGGUGGUCAGGUAGAGAAUACCAAGGCGCUUGAGAGAACUCGGGUGAAGGAACUAGGCAAAAUGGUGCCGUAACUUCGGGAGAAGGCACGCUGAUAUGUAGGUGAAGUCCCUUGCGGAUGGAGCUGAAAUCAGUCGAAGAUACCAGCUGGCUGCAACUGUUUAUUAAAAACACAGCACUGUGCAAACACGAAAGUGGACGUAUACGGUGUGACGCCUGCCCGGUGCCGGAAGGUUAAUUGAUGGGGUCAGCGCAAGCGAAGCUCUUGAUCGAAGCCCCGGUAAACGGCGGCCGUAACUAUAACGGUCCUAAGGUAGCGAAAUUCCUUGUCGGGUAAGUUCCGACCUGCACGAAUGGCGUAAUGAUGGCCAGGCUGUCUCCACCCGAGACUCAGUGAAAUUGAACUCGCUGUGAAGAUGCAGUGUACCCGCGGCAAGACGGAAAGACCCCGUGAACCUUUACUAUAGCUUGACACUGAACAUUGAGCCUUGAUGUGUAGGAUAGGUGGGAGGCUUGGAAGUGUGGACGCCAGUCUGCAUGGAGCCGACCUUGAAAUACCACCCUUUAAUGUUUGAUGUUCUAACGUUGACCCGUAAUCCGGGUUGCGGACAGUGUCUGGUGGGUAGUUUGACUGGGGCGGUCUCCUCCUAAAGAGUAACGGAGGAGCACGAAGGUUGGCUAAUCCUGGUCGGACAUCAGGAGGUUAGUGCAAUGGCAUAAGCCAGCUUGACUGCGAGCGUGACGGCGCGAGCAGGUGCGAAAGCAGGUCAUAGUGAUCCGGUGGUUCUGAAUGGAAGGGCCAUCGCUCAACGGAUAAAAGGUACUCCGGGGAUAACAGGCUGAUACCGCCCAAGAGUUCAUAUCGACGGCGGUGUUUGGCACCUCGAUGUCGGCUCAUCACAUCCUGGGGCUGAAGUAGGUCCCAAGGGUAUGGCUGUUCGCCAUUUAAAGUGGUACGCGAGCUGGGUUUAGAACGUCGUGAGACAGUUCGGUCCCUAUCUGCCGUGGGCGCUGGAGAACUGAGGGGGGCUGCUCCUAGUACGAGAGGACCGGAGUGGACGCAUCACUGGUGUUCGGGUUGUCAUGCCAAUGGCACUGCCCGGUAGCUAAAUGCGGAAGAGAUAAGUGCUGAAAGCAUCUAAGCACGAAACUUGCCCCGAGAUGAGUUCUCCCUGACUCCUUGAGAGUCCUGAAGGAACGUUGAAGACGACGACGUUGAUAGGCCGGGUGUGUAAGCGCAGCGAUGCGUUGAGCUAACCGGUACUAAUGAACCGUGAGGCUUAACCUU
RNAcentral lists this ribosomal RNA (2815 nucleotides) under Escherichia coli. RNAcentral's name for it is "partial 23S ribosomal RNA". It matches the Rfam family "Bacterial large subunit ribosomal RNA". Lineage: Bacteria; Pseudomonadati; Pseudomonadota; Gammaproteobacteria; Enterobacterales; Enterobacteriaceae. The record is from RNAcentral.